UCCCCCACACUGGUACUGAGACACGGACCAGACUCCUACGGGAGGCAGCAGUGAGGAUAUUGGACAAUGGGCGAGAGCCUGAUCCAGCCAUGCCGCGUGCAGGAAGACUGCCCUAUGGGUUGUAAACUGCUUUUAUACGGGAAGAAACCCAUCUACGGUAGGUGGCUGACGGUAC
This 175-nucleotide ribosomal RNA is filed under the name marine snow associated bacterium Adriatic97. RNAcentral describes it as "partial 16S ribosomal RNA". It matches the Rfam family "Bacterial small subunit ribosomal RNA", at positions 304 to 478 of the family's 1533-position model. The record is from RNAcentral.